This 497-nucleotide ribosomal RNA is filed under the name uncultured bacterium. RNAcentral's name for it is "partial 16S ribosomal RNA". It matches the Rfam family "Bacterial small subunit ribosomal RNA", at positions 38 to 507 of the family's 1533-position model. The record is from RNAcentral.
GGGGGGGGGGGGGGGCGGGGCUGGGGGGGGCGGGGCGGGGGGGCGGACGGGAAGCUUGCUGCUCUGAUGUUAGCGGCGGACGGGGGAGUAACACGUGGAUAACCUACCUAUAAGACUGGGAUAACUUCGGGAAACCGGAGCUAAUACCGGAUAAUAUUUUGAACCGCAUGGUUCAAAAGUGAAAGACGGUCUUGCUGUCACUUAUAGAUGGAUCCGCGCUGCAUUAGCUAGUUGGUAAGGUAACGGCUUACCAAGGCAACGAUGCAUAGCCGACCUGAGAGGGUGAUCGGCCACACUGGAACUGAGACACGGUCCAGACUCCUACGGGAGGCAGCAGUAGGGAAUCUUCCGCAAUGGGCGAAAGCCUGACGGAGCAACGCCGCGUGAGUGAUGAAGGUCUUCGGAUCGUAAAACUCUGUUAUUAGGGAAGAACAUAUGUGUAAGUAACUGUGCACAUCUUGACGGUACCUAAUCAGAAAGCCACGGCUAACUACGUG